GACGAACGCUGGCGGCGUGCUUAACACAUGCAAGUCGAACGGAAAGGCCCUGCUUUUGUGGGGUGCUCGAGUGGCGAACGGGUGAGUAACACGUGAGUAACCUGCCCUUGACUUUGGGAUAACUUCAGGAAACUGGGGCUAAUACCGGAUAGGAGCUCCUGCUGCAUGGUGGGGGUUGGAAAGUUUCGGCGGUUGGGGAUGGACUCGCGGCUUAUCAGCUUGUUGGUGGGGUAGUGGCUUACCAAGGCUUUGACGGGUAGCCGGCCUGAGAGGGUGACCGGCCACAUUGGGACUGAGAUACGGCCCAGACUCGUACGGGAGGCAGCAGUGGGGAAUAUUGCACAAUGGGCGGAAGCCUGAUGCAGCAACGCCGCGUGCGGGAUGACGGCCUUCGGGUUGUAAACCGAUUUCGCCUGUGACGAAGCGUGAGUGACGGUAAUGGGUAAAGAAGCACCGGCUAACUACGU
Molecule: ribosomal RNA, 467 nt
Filed under: uncultured bacterium
Lineage: Bacteria
Description: partial 16S ribosomal RNA
Rfam family: Bacterial small subunit ribosomal RNA
Source: RNAcentral